CCUACGGGUGGCAGCAGUGGGGAAUAUUGGGUAAUGGAGGAAACUCUGACCCAGCAAUGCCGCGUGAAUGAAGAAGGUCUUCGGAUUGUAAAGUUCUUUAGUCAGGAAAGAAGUCAAUGACGGUACCUGAAUAAUAAGCUUCGGCUAACUACGUGCCAGCAGCCGCGGUAUUACGUAGGGAGCAAGCGUUGUUCGGAAUGACUGGGCGUAAGGGGUGCGUGGGCGGUUGUGCAAGUUAGAGGUGAAAUACCCAGGGCUUAAAUCGGGUGCUGCUUCUAAAACUGGAUGACUUGAGUGAAGUAGAGGUUAGUGGAAUUCCUGGUGUAGCGGUGGAAUGCGUAGAUAUUAGGAGGAACACCAGAGGCGAAGGCAGCUAACUGGACUGCAACUGACGCUGAGGCACGAAAGUGUGGGGAGCGAACAGGAUUAGAUACCCCUGUAGUC
RNAcentral lists this ribosomal RNA (444 nucleotides) under uncultured bacterium. RNAcentral describes it as "partial 16S ribosomal RNA". It matches the Rfam family "Bacterial small subunit ribosomal RNA", at positions 338 to 795 of the family's 1533-position model. The record is from RNAcentral.